UAGGGAAUCUUCGGCAAUGGGGGCAACCCUGACCGAGCAACGCCGCGUGAGUGAAGAAGGUUUUCGGAUUCGUAAAGCUCUGUUGUAAGAGAAGAACGUGUGUGAGAGUGGAAAAUUCACACAGUGACGGUAACUUACCAGAAAGGGACGGCUAACUACGCGCCAG
This 166-nucleotide ribosomal RNA is filed under the name uncultured bacterium. Its description in RNAcentral is "partial 16S rRNA". It matches the Rfam family "Bacterial small subunit ribosomal RNA", at positions 355 to 511 of the family's 1533-position model. The record is from RNAcentral.